CUUGAUCGAGCCGAGCAGCAGCGGCCGCUCACGAUCCUGACCGUAGGUUUCCAGCAGGGCUUGCGCCUC
Molecule: antisense RNA, 69 nt
Filed under: Actinoplanes sp. SE50/110
Lineage: Bacteria; Bacillati; Actinomycetota; Actinomycetes; Micromonosporales; Micromonosporaceae
Description: ASpks TB sRNA
Rfam family: ASpks TB sRNA
Source: Rfam by way of RNAcentral